GAAAAUGAAGGAUAAUUCAUCUUUGAAAAUAUAUACUUGAGCAUGUGUAUUUUGUUAUCUUAUUCGGGUAACAUAGAGCCAAAUGGCGCAAAGUUGGCAUAUCAUCAUCUGAUGAAAGUGCAGCACUGCCGCUGUUUCCACACUAAGAAUACUCAUAACCUAUCCCAACCUGAGUGGAUAUAUAAAUUCAGAGGGAAAAUCACAAACUACACUAUACCGAUACAGCUAGAUAUCAAGAUUCUCAGGACACAAUGUCUAAACUAAAUUACCCAACAAAAAGUUUGAAUCAUGAAUAGAAUAUAGUUAACAUAACCCCCCGUGCAAACGGUCAUCACGUAUCAGCUAGUAAGAAAGGAGGGAACAAAUCUUGAUUAACAGAACAAUGGAGCACCAUCUUUAGAGAUUGUACAAACUGUAAAAAAAAAAGAAAUCGGUCAGAGUAAAAAAACAUGACUGGAUAUAUAUACAGCUGGAUAUCAAGAUUCUCUGGAGAAAUGCUUAAACUAAAAUACUAAUAAAAAACGAAUCAUGGGCCAUUCAAAAACAACUUCAUAUAGAUAUAUACCCAACAAAGAGUUUGAAUCAUGAAUAUGCAACGCACAUCGCUAACAUGACCCACCAUGCAAACGAUCAUCAUAAAUACCUUUGGAACCCACAACUCAACAUAAAGAUGACAAAGACAAACAUGUAUACCAAAUAGCAUCUGAAAACAUAUCAGGGAAGAUAAUUUUCUGGCAGAACCAAGCAUGCGUAUGAAACUAUCUAAAUAUAUGUGCUAAACAGCCACUGGAAACAUUGCUAUAGAACAGACCGGAUAAAGCAAUUUCCACACAGAACAAUCCAUGCAUGUUUGCACAACCAAUCAAACACAUGUAUAGCAUAGAUACUGACAAACAAUUAGUCUAGAAAGAUUAACUAUGCCGGAGCAAGUUGAUCAUGAAACUCCAUACCAAGACAUCUCCAGAUUUUUCCGGAAAUGAGAGUUCAGUAAGCUACUACCUUCAGCCUCCUAACUGAUUUGAGAGCAGCAUUUAUUAGUUUUUACAAACUUGAAAAAAAAACAUUAGGCACAUUUGAAUAAACAUUCAAGAGAAGGGAACUGCAAAACGAAAUUCAGUAAACAGAAACGUCGCUAUAGCUCAUGACUAAAUUGACUCUCUUUCAGCAAAAAGUAGGAAAGUGUAACCACCUUAGUAAAAAAAUAGAAUGAGCAUGCUACCAUGCCCUCGCGCAGGUUCAAGCUACAUUCGAAGAAGGGACGUCUAUUGAACAAAAACUGGGUCGAUAGUAUUUUGCAAUAGCUAACUAUGCAACUUUUCUCCACAAAUAUGAGAUAAUUUAAAUGGCAGGAUCAUGUUUGUUUUCCCCUUAUUUUCAGUUGGAUUGUAAUAACUCAGCAGCAAAGAGUACACCACCGUGGUUUAGUCUACCAAUCUGAUUCAAUUCAAGAAUGGGUAGCCUAUUCUCUUGUAUAUGUCAGUAAGCUCUUUUUUGUACUCAAGUCAAAACUAAGCAUAAAUAGCUACUCACCUACAUAAGUUGCUGUUGCACAUGCCCAUGUAUUUGGUGCGAGUUGAGGCCUCCUUUAAGUAACAUUAUGACCACUCUUCAUACCUACAAACACCAUCAAAGUAUGAAGUCAAAGCGAGGUGGAACCGUGUAAGGACUAAAGAAAGGCAAAGUGUCCGAUUCAUAAGCAAAGAGAGCAAGAGACCGAACUUUCAGAACAUUUAGGUUUAUUAGUAAGGAAAUAGUGGUAACAUUUUCUUAGUAAUUAAGCUCGAUGGAAAUAAAGGUACUUUUCAUGUAUGACGCCCAAAAAAAGUUUAAACAUCUUUUCCUUUUGCUGUACCAUGACCAUACCACAAUGUGAGCUGCAGACAGGGAAAAGUUCAGAUCCAAAAUCAUAUCUAAUAGAUAUGUUUGUACAUUAAGGAAAAGAAAAACAUUACUGGUAGCAUUCUGCAAAAACACAUUAAGAAAUGGAGCUUUUGGACCAGUGAAUUACACUGGUAUUCUCAAAAUACCACAUGUACAAUCUCACUGGUGAGAACCAGUGCAAGAUUAAGAAAUUAUCUAAGUCUAUAAGCUUUUUAUGAAUGAUGCUAGACUUAUUUUUUUAUUGCAAGAAUCAAUGCUAGCAGGCUGUUUCGUAGAGUUACUCAGCGGAAGAUGCCACAACCAAUAGAAAUUGGCAGUAGAUUUCAUCUAUGCCUGCUGCUCCAUCCUGCAGUAAUUAUUUAGAACAACAAAUAAGAUGAUUGUCAGAUUAGAGAAGGCACACUUCUUGCAUAAAAAAGAGAAGGCCACACUAAAGAAGCACGUUCCUAGUAUGUAUCUAUAAACAUAGAUAUGCUACUGAUAAAUAUAACUGAACUAUUUCCCAUAGGAAAAGGAAAACAUGCAUGUGGCUAGAAAGAAUAAGCAUGUAGCUAGAAAGAAAGGAAGCAAACAUCAAGUAGCAGGACAUAGUUACAGCAAAGUAGGAGCUCAAGAUGCAGCAACAAAGGAGAUCCUAGAACCAGCUAAAUAAACAGAGAUGAAGUAGUCAAAGCACACGCAUGAUGUGGAUCGGUGCACAGAGGUAAAAGAAUAGUCAUCCACAGACAAGCAAAAGAGCAAUCCAUUUACCCGAACUGGAAAGGAGAAGUAGGCUAGAUAAGGAGGAAAGACGGACCAUAAGGCCAAGGAUGAACAACAAGCAAAAUGAACUGAACGCAAAAAAGGUUAACAAAUAUGCAUUUCAUCAAACAUCUUGCAGAAAAGAAAAUGGAGCGUGGUGUCACCUCAAUUAAUCGCCGAAGGAAGAACGGAUGGCAAGAUAAUCAACCUACACACGAUGCGGACAGAAGGAAGAACACGAAAUCAGCAGGGCAUAGAAAAAAUAAGGGUACACGACAAGAUCAGGAAAGGAGAACGAAUCUCAACCAAUAGUCCCGUCCAGAGUAUGGACGACAUUGCAGCCGACGAGAGCACCACCGGUGAAGGAGAGGAAAUCCAAUCGAAGAGAGAGAGAGAGAGCGCAACACAACGAGGAGGAGAAAGAGAGCAAAGCGGUCAAAGCGAGAGCGCGGCCGACCUAUGCUCGUUAGCAAGUCAUGCCGGCCUCCUAACCCUCCCCUGCCAGCCAGCCCCCGAUGCGAAGAAUCCGCCGGCCCUACUAUCCCGCGGCGACGACCUGCACUGAUUUAGAACCAUCGCACGCAGCAGCGCAGAUCCGAAAGGUGCCAAAGCAGAUGACGAGCCAGCGUGCGAGGCCACGAUCCGAUCCUUCCGCCUGUUGGCCUCGCUCGCGCUGCUCCUCAGGAAAUGCCGUUGUGAGGUGGGGGGCUGGGAGGCCGGCAGCCGGAGAGAAAUCGGUGGAGUAAACCGGAGCAGCGAGGAGGCGGAUUGAUGGCUGACGAGGAGAAAGGAGGAGGAGAGAGAAGGACGGGAUGCGGGUCUCGAGAUGUGAGGGAACACUACCGGCUGCGCUACAGCAAAAGCGAACGCCCACACCCAGCCGCAAGACCGGGGUCACCGGUCAUGGCGCAGGAGUCAGCCAGAGCACGACGCAUGACCCGACUCACUCCGACCGCAGACGAAACUCAACGACAUGAACAGAAAAAAAUCAACCCAUAGACGUGUAGGACCAUCAUCCAACGUGGCCCACCGGUCAUUGCAUGGAAAGGCAGCGGCGGGUGUGUAUGCGGCAGCACAUCUCGUACGCAUCAUGACGUAGGAGCACUAUGCAUCGGUCUGCUACCCCGCGCGCACAUCCAUG
RNAcentral lists this long non-coding RNA (3763 nucleotides) under Triticum aestivum (bread wheat). Its description in RNAcentral is "long non-coding RNA (TAES_LNC005382)". Lineage: Eukaryota; Viridiplantae; Streptophyta; Magnoliopsida; Poales; Poaceae. The record is from RNAcentral.